This 573-nucleotide ribosomal RNA is filed under the name uncultured delta proteobacterium. RNAcentral describes it as "bacterial SSU rRNA". It matches the Rfam family "Bacterial small subunit ribosomal RNA", at positions 346 to 916 of the family's 1533-position model. The record is from RNAcentral. Lineage: Bacteria; Deltaproteobacteria.
AGGCAGCAGUAGGGAAUAUUGGUCAAUGGGCGAAAGCCUGAACCAGCCAUGCCGCGUGCAGGAUGACGGCCUUCUGGGUUGUAAACUGCUUUUAUCAGGGAAGAAAACGGCCAUGCGUGGCAGAUUGACGGUACCUGAAGAAUAAGCACCGGCUAACUCCGUGCCAGCAGCCGCGGUAAUACGGAGGGUGCAAGCGUUGUUCGGAAUUACUGGGCGUGAAGGGCGCGUAGGCGGCCUGAUAAGUCAGAUGUGAAAGUCCACGGCUCAACCGUGGAAGUGCAUUUGAAACUGUCAGGCUUGAGUAUCGGAGGGGAAAGUGGAAUUCCCGGUGUAGAGGUGAAAUUCGUAGAGAUCGGGAGGAACACCGGUGGCGAAGGCGACUUUCUGGACGAAUACUGACGCUGAGGCGCGAAAGCGUGGGGAGCAAACAGGAUUAGAUACCCUGGUAGUCCACGCCGUAAACGAUGUGAACUAGGGAUAGGGGGUGUUGAUCCCUCCUGUCCCGCAGCUAACGCAUUAAGUUCACCGCCUGGGGAGUACGGUCGCAAGAUUAAAACUCAAAUGAAUUGACGG